UACGGAGGGAGCUAGCGUUGUUCGGAAUUACUGGGCGUAAAGCGCGCGUAGGCGGCUUUGUAAGUUAGAGGUGAAAGCCCGGGGCUCAACUCCGGAACUGCCUUUAAGACUGCAUCGCUUGAAUCCGGGAGAGGUGAGUGGAAUUCCGAGUGUAGAGGUGAAAUUCGUAGAUAUUGGGAAGAACACCAGUGGCGAAGGCGGCCAUCUGGCCUGGAAUUGACGCUGAGGCGCGAAAGCGUGGGGAGCAAACAGG
RNAcentral lists this ribosomal RNA (253 nucleotides) under uncultured bacterium. RNAcentral describes it as "partial 16S ribosomal RNA". It matches the Rfam family "Bacterial small subunit ribosomal RNA", at positions 524 to 776 of the family's 1533-position model. The record is from RNAcentral.